This 59-nucleotide microRNA precursor is filed under the name Echinops telfairi (small Madagascar hedgehog). RNAcentral describes it as "Ete-Mir-34-P2a_pre stem-loop". The record is from RNAcentral. Lineage: Eukaryota; Metazoa; Chordata; Mammalia; Afrosoricida; Tenrecidae.
AGGCAGUGUAAUUAGCUGAUUGUCCUCUGGCGCUUACAAUCACUAACUCCACUGCCAUC